RNAcentral lists this ribosomal RNA (253 nucleotides) under uncultured bacterium. RNAcentral describes it as "partial 16S ribosomal RNA". It matches the Rfam family "Bacterial small subunit ribosomal RNA", at positions 524 to 776 of the family's 1533-position model. The record is from RNAcentral.
UACGUAGGCAGCAAGCGUUGUUCGGAGUUACUGGGCGUAAAGGGUGCGUAGGUGGCUCUAUAAGUAUGGUGUGAAAUCUCCCGGCUUAACUGGGAGGGUGCGCCGAAUACUGAGAGGCUAGAGUGUGGGAGAGGAAAGUGGAAUUCCUGGUGUAGCGGUGAAAUGCGUAGAUAUCAGGAGGAACACCGGUGGUGUAAACGGCUUUCUGGACCAUAACUGACGCUGAUGCACGAAAGCGUGGGUAGCAAACAGG